GACGAACGCUGGCGGCGUGCUUAACACAUGCAAGUCGAACGGAAAGGCCCAGCUUGCUGGGUACUCGAGUGGCGAACGGGUGAGUAACACGCGGGUGAUCUGCCCUGCACUCUGGGAUAAGCCUGGGAAACUGGGUCUAAUACCGGAUAUGACCGACUGUCGCAUGGUGGUUGGUGGAAAGCUUUUGCGGUGUGGGAUGGGCCCGCGGCCUAUCAGCUUGUUGGUGGGGUAAUGGCCUACCAAGGCGACGACGGGUAGCCGACCUGAGAGGGUGAUCGGCCACACUGGGACUGAGACACGGCCCAGACUCCUACGGGAGGCAGCAGUGGGGAAUAUUGCACAAUGGGCGCAAGCCUGAUGCAGCGACGCCGCGUGAGGGAUGACGGCCUUCGGGUUGUAAACCUCUUUCACCAGGGACGAAGCGUGAGUGACGGUACCUGGAGAAGAAGCACCGGCCAACUACGUG
This 466-nucleotide ribosomal RNA is filed under the name uncultured bacterium. RNAcentral describes it as "partial 16S ribosomal RNA". It matches the Rfam family "Bacterial small subunit ribosomal RNA", at positions 28 to 507 of the family's 1533-position model. The record is from RNAcentral.